GGAGUCAACGUGGGCCAGCAUCCUUCUGGAACGCAUUAGACACCUUGUAGAGUCCAUGCCCCGACGAAUUGAAGCUGUUUUGAGGGCAACAGGGCGGGGUACAACUCAAUAUUAGGAAGGUGUUUUUAAUGUUUUGCACGCGGUGUACAAUUGUUUGACUAUAAUUGAUUUAAAUGAAAUGAGCCAAAAAGAAACAAAAUCAGUGUUUGUGCAAACCACAAUAUGGAGCAAAUGGAUCCUUUGCCAUUUUCUUGUGUAAGUAGCACUUGAAUCGUUGUGUACAAGGAAUGACAUUUGUGGUUAUGAUGAUGUUAGACAGUUCUACUAAUCUCUGGUCCUCAAUAGUACAAUAUGACACAGGUUGUGUCAUAUUCUGCCACCGCAGCCCAAAGGACCCACUGGGCACACACUGGUUGAAUCAACGUUGUUUCCAUGUCAUUUCAAUGAAAUUACGCUGAACCAACAUGGAAUAGACGUUGAAUUGCCCAGUGGGGAAGUUAUCAGAGGGAUACUAGCUUAACUAAUAUGGCAGAAGGUAGAGCUGUUGGGCUCUGCGGGGCAUGUGAGGACAUGAAAAAGGCACCCAUGAUUCAACAAAAUGUGGUAGAGUCUGGGGAAAUGACCGUUUUUAGCAACAAACAUCAAACCACAGACAGACAGCUCCCUGUUUUCAUCUGCAGCACGCCACCAAGCCCAUCGUACAGGAAACUGUUUCCCUGACUGGUACACUGGCACGAAAGGACAUUUGCAUGAGACAGAAAACAAAGAGAUGACUAAUAGAGAGAGAGAGAGGGAGAUGUAGUGAUGCAAAGUAAAGGAGUGAUGGACAUUUCAGAAGCUAGACCGAGAAAUCGUUGAUCCAUUUCUGCAGAGAACCCGCCUGAAUAGAUGCACAACGUUCAGUUCAACAUGUUUUGAACAUGUCCGUCCCUGAAGUGUUCUGUGCUCUACGAUGGCGACACCUGCUCCUGUCCCCGAGCUGCCACGGGCUACUCUGAAGGAGCACUUCACACACAUGGUUGGACAUUUCACUGGUACCUGACUCAGAACGUACCAGAUGGCCUUCAUCUCAUCCCCAAGGGCCAUCUGGAGAACGCCGACAGUCAAGACACCACGCGGAUACCAUGGUGAACUCCCACGGCCACGAUGGAGCUAUGACGAUCUCCCUGGAAAUCAUGAAGAUGAAUCAGAAGUGAAUGGCAGAUCACCAAGGCUGAGAUUGAUGGAGCAGCUGCCUCAAUUCCGGUUCCUGUCUCUCCUGUCUACCUCACCUGUACAUCUCAGACUGGCGGCCAUGUUGUGGCCCCUUCACACCCCGGCUGCUAUAUCGAUGGUCCAAUUCACUUCAACAUCAGAGUCAACUCCAUAGAUGAGCCUAUUGUUUAAUCUAAAGCAUCACCUGUCUGUCUCACCAUGUUUCAACCUGUUCCUGUAAAGACUGAGGACAACGGUAAGACAGAUAGAAUGGGGUGUUUGGAAGUCUUACUGUAGAUCUGUAUGGAGAAGGUUGUUCGGGCAGUGGUAAGAACAGGGAAACGCUUUGGAACUGAAGUUGAUUUUGGUAUGAGGAACCACAAGAUUGCAACGUUGUCCAGUAACCUGUAUUUAGAGAGCGCACGAUCAAGCAGCCCUUGUCGUGGCAAUUUCCUGUAUUACCAAAUGAGGAGAGUUACAAACCACACACCAGUCAGAGUUAUACUUAAACUUCAUCUUUAAUAAUAUGAGCUUUACCAUAGCCCUUUUGAUUCUCAGAUCAAUUAUGUGUCAAUAAUGAAUUCUGAGAGUGCCUACAGAAGAGUAGAAAGAUCUUCUAUAGCCAAGAUACACCCCUCUCAACUUACAUGACGAACCACAGAUCUUAGG
Oncorhynchus kisutch (coho salmon) is the source of this 1863-nucleotide long non-coding RNA. RefSeq lists it as uncharacterized. The record is from RefSeq and is a predicted model, not a curated record. The transcript is spliced from 3 exons. NCBI's taxonomy places the organism in Eukaryota, Metazoa, Chordata, Actinopteri, Salmoniformes, Salmonidae.